This 253-nucleotide ribosomal RNA is filed under the name uncultured bacterium. Its description in RNAcentral is "partial 16S ribosomal RNA". It matches the Rfam family "Bacterial small subunit ribosomal RNA", at positions 524 to 776 of the family's 1533-position model. The record is from RNAcentral.
UACAGAGGGUGCGAGCGUUAAUCGGAAUUACUGGGCGUAAAGCGCACGUAGGCGGCUUGGUAUGUCGGGUGUGAAAUCCCCGGGCUCAACCUGGGAACUGCAUUUGUGACUGCAUCGCUGGAGUACGGCAGAGGGGGAUGGAAUUCCGCGUGUAGCAGUGAAAUGCGUAGAUAUGCGGAGGAACACCGAUGGCGAAGGCAAUCCCCUGGGCCUGUACUGACGCUCAUGCACGAAAGCGUGGGGAGCAAACAGG